Molecule: non-coding RNA, 691 nt
Organism: Pelobates cultripes (western spadefoot toad)
Lineage: Eukaryota; Metazoa; Chordata; Amphibia; Anura; Pelobatidae
Source: the annotation of a GenBank genome assembly
CAGGACAUGAACUCACAUUUCCCAUACUGCUGAUUCAGAGUGGGGACACUACUAACUUACCAAAGUGUGUCCCCAAUAUAGACAAACAAUCACCCACAAAAAACACUUAAGACAAACAAAGGUGACCGGGAGAAAGAGAAGUUUGGGUUAUACUUAAAGAUCUACAAACCAUGCUGCUCAGAACACCUAUAGACUUAAUAAACCGGAGACUCUUAUGGUCUCAAAAACCUGUAUCUACCUGAGAUACCCUGUAUCUAUCUUAGAUACUAACCUGGGUUACCAAAACCCUAUAAUAAACCGGAGACCUCUUAUGGUCUCAAAAACCUGUAUCUAUCUUAGAUACUAACCUGGGUUACCAAGAACCCCUAUAUAUAUUUAGACCAAAUGUCUAAUAAACCGGAGACCUCUUAUAGUCUCAAUAUAACUAGAGUCCUUACACCUUUCCUAUCUACUGGAUACAGUCUUACUGAACCAAAGGGGGUCAUAGACAAUCAGCGUCAAAUAAGACACAAAAAGGCUACUCACCGCAAUGGUUUUGCUGAUCCAACUUCUAUCCCACUUCUAGACACCAAGCUGAAAGGGUUAAUGUUGUAAUGGACUCUAAUCCCCUCGGUUCUCGAUCCCUCGGUCACCAUAAUCAACGUUGAUGGAGGAUCAUUUGUAAGCAAUAACACACGGACAACAGCUUUAC